AUUGAACGCUGGCGGCAGGCCUAACACAUGCAAGUCGAGCGAGCGGUGGACGGGUGAGUAUUGUUUCGGGUCUGCCCGAUAGUGGGGGUUAAUACUGGCAACGGUAGCUAAUACCGCACCCUAUCGGAUUACCCAUAUGGGAUUGGCGAGUUGGUGAGUUAAUGGCUCACCAAGGCGACGAUCUCUAGCUGGUCUGAGAGGAUGAUCAGCCACACUGGGACUGAGACACGGCCCAGACUCCUACGGGAGGCAGCAGUGGGGAAUAUUGCACAAUGGGCGCAAGCCGGAUGCAGCCAUGCCGGGUGUAUGAAGAAGGCCCUAGGGUUGUAAAGUACUUUCAGUCGGAGGCGUUACUACAGAAGAAGCACCGGCUAACUCCGUGCCAGCCGCCGCGGUAAUAC
Molecule: ribosomal RNA, 401 nt
Filed under: uncultured bacterium
Lineage: Bacteria
Description: partial 16S ribosomal RNA
Rfam family: Bacterial small subunit ribosomal RNA
Source: RNAcentral